GCCUGGCCAACAUGGUGAAACCCAGUCUCUACUAAAAAUACAAAAAUUAGCCAGGCGCUGUGGUGGGUGCCUGUAGUCCCAGCUACUCGGGAGGCUGAGGCAGGAGAAUCGCUUGAACCCAGGAGGCGGAGGUUGCAGUGAGCCGAGAUUGCGCCACUGCACUCCAGCCUGGGCAAUAGAGCAAGACCCUGCCUCAAAAAUAAAUAAAUAACCCACAGAGCUGAGCACAGGCUUCCUCAUGCUUUUCCUUUGGAAGGUGUCCUAGAUAUAUGAUGAUUUCUUUUUUCUUUCACCUCCUCUUGAUUGUCACAAGUAGCUUGCUUGGCUCAGGAACAACAGAAGAGAAUAAAGAAAAUGACCUCAGACCUUCUUUACCUCAGUCUUAUGCAGCAACCGUAGCCAGACCAAGUGCAUCUUCAGCCUCCACGGUGCCAGGUUAUUCUGAGGACGGCGGGGCGCUGCGAGGAGAAGUUAUUCCUGAACAUGAGUUUGCGACGGGACCAGUGUGUCUUGAUGAUGAGAAUGAGUUUCCUCCUGUGAGCAUUAGGAACCCGUAACUGGGCGGCUCAGUCUGUGUGCUUAGAAGGAAACCUUCGCCUCAUACGAGAGGCAGAGUCCCUUUCCCUGUUUUCUAAUCUAUAACAACUAAUUCUCUGCUCUAGUAUUUGGAAAGCCAUAGGAUAUC
Molecule: small RNA, 685 nt
Filed under: Pan troglodytes (chimpanzee)
Lineage: Eukaryota; Metazoa; Chordata; Mammalia; Primates; Hominidae
Description: retained intron
Rfam family: Metazoan signal recognition particle RNA (bases 50-197)
Source: RNAcentral